This 988-nucleotide long non-coding RNA is filed under the name Olea europaea subsp. europaea. Lineage: Eukaryota; Viridiplantae; Streptophyta; Magnoliopsida; Lamiales; Oleaceae. The record is from RNAcentral.
CAAUCUCAUGUUACAACCGGUCAAAAUUGGUCACAAAUAGUCACAACAAACACAAAUUUGGUCACAUGAGGUCACCACAAACAAAUAUGAACUCAUUGCGAUCAGUAUCAUAAUUUGCUCCUGUUUCAAAGUAAUAAUCGAGAUAAAAAUGAUGUUUCCUAGCCCCAGAAGACAAGGAUGGAUGAAGGACAGGCCACUACAUUUUUGCCAACCGUAAAUUUGUGACAAUUGCUAAAAAGAGGCAAAAUCUCUCUUUCCUUCUCUUCUACCAGCAAACACACAAUCGAAGUAAUAGAGCACUUUUCAAUUGAGAAGAUUCAAUUAUCUGGCACUACAUUGGCCUCCCUCAUUCAUCGUGUCUUUGCUGCCAUCGGCAACCUCACCACUACCAUAUCCUCUAUCUCCAUUUAAACCAUACCCAACCACCACCACCACCCAAAAUUCCACAUACCCGUUGCCACCACCACCGCACCACCCACAAAACACCACGACCACCAUCAUCUCCUCUCUCCAUUUAAACCGAACCCAACCACCAUCCCCACCAAAAAAACCCACAAACAAGCCAUCACCACUACCAUAGUACACUAUCACAGCCUACACAAUAACCAUCUCAAAAACGUCAACAAAACUUGUUGAAAAAUUUACCAAAAAAUCAUACGAUCUAUAAAACCACACAAAAGUCUGUAACACCGCACAAAAAGCCUAAAUCGUCGUCGUGAUCCGAAACGCCGAAAAAGAGUUUAGUCCGUAUCGUUGCGCCUCAACUCCACCGGCGAUGUGACCAUCCCAGCGCAUCCACUUAGGUGAAGAGACAAAUCUGUGCAUCCACUCCAAUGCCGCACUCAACUUUGGAGUUGUCUGUCAAAGAAGGAUUGGUGUAAAGAGAGAAUGGGGGAAGCAGUGAUUUUAGAAAGAGAAUAUGAAAUGUAGAGAAAGAGAGAUGAGAGUCAAUAGAGAGAGAAGACAGAAAUGUUGGGAGAGAGAUAAG